CAAUAGCGUAUAUUAAAGUUGUUGCAGUUAAAAGCUCGUAGUCGGAUUUCGGGUCGGGCCGAGCGGUCUGCCGAUGGGUAUGCACUGUUUGGCGCGGCCUUCUUUCCGGAGACCGCGGCUACUCUUAACUGAGCGGGCGUGGGAGACGGAUCGUUUACUUUGAAAAAUCAGAGUGUUCAAAGCAGGCAACCGCUCUGAAUACAUUAGCAUGGAAUAACGCUAUAGGAUUCUGGUCAUAUUGUGUUGGUCUUCGGGACCGGAGUAAUGAUUAAGAGGGACAGUUGGGGCGAUUCGUAUUUCAUUGUCAGAGGUGAAAUUCUUGGAUUUAUGAAAGACGAACUUCUGCGAAAGCAUUUGCCAAGGAUGUUUUCAUUAAUCAAGAACGAAAGUUGGGGCGUCGAAGACGAUUAGAUACCG
Molecule: ribosomal RNA, 417 nt
Filed under: uncultured eukaryote
Lineage: Eukaryota
Description: bacterial SSU rRNA
Rfam family: Eukaryotic small subunit ribosomal RNA
Source: RNAcentral